CAUGGCGGCGCCCAUGGUCUCAGCUCGGUAUGCCACAUCGGCCGUCAAAACACCUGCUGUUCCAUGUCCACUGAGAGCCAAGAAAGCACUCAAAUUAUAAGGUACUCUGCACUCAUCUUUCGUUGAGCAAGAAAUGAAUGCUACGUGUAGAAGUUAACCACUGGAGCUUGCCUCAGACUCAAGGUACUCUGCACUCAUCUUUCGUUAAGCAAGAAAUGAAAGCUACGUGUAGAAAUUAACCAGCAGAGCUUCCCUCGGACACAAGGUAAGUCAAAUAAUGUUACCGUAACAAUAUUUUGUUUUCUUUGUACAUUCUGAUCAUGUGAUAAACUCACGGGUGGAUUUCACAAGGAGUUGAGACUACUCUUAUCUCGAGUUAGGACAAGUUAGGACUAGCCUUAGGUUCUUAAUAACCCCUAACCCCUAAAGAGUCCUAGGACUAGUCCUAAGUUAGGACUAUCUUUGUGAAAUUGACCUCUGGCCAUAUCCUGACACAGCCCUUCAAAUCAACAGGAGAAUUUUGACAGUUUUGAAGGAUUGGGGAACAUUUGAAAUUUGUUCUAUUGGAGGCGCUGGCUGGGAUUGAAUUCCUAUUAUCAGUCGAUUUUGAAGCAUCGAAGCAAAAUAGAUCCCAGUAGAGAAAGGGUCUCGAUUUAUUUGUACUUUGUGGUUUACGAUAACCACUACCUUUCUAACAAUCUACAGUAAAACAAUUAACAAAUACAAAUCUACAUGUUUGACUUAAUUUUAAUUAUUGAAGUUCUACAUACAAGCAUUACUGCGCUUUAUGUACAGCAGGGUUAGGCUUGAAUUUAAACGAUGAAAUUUCUAAUAUGGCAUUCUAACUAAAUGCAAGAAGUACAUUAUGAAAUAUUAUAACCACUACCUUCUUAACGAUUUUAAAAUACUUGGAACAGAUACAGAUCUAUGACUAAGAGUUUUACACGUUUUACAUGCAUGCAUAAGCUAAGCUUUACGUACAGCAGGAUUAAACUGGUGUUAAAAAUUAUUAAAUUACUAAAUAUAUCGCAUUCUAACUACAUCUAAGAAGCUCGGUGCUCGAUUUUCUGAGCAGAUUUUUGUCGGGAUCACCAGGGCCCAAUUUCAUAGAGCUGCUAAGCACAAAAAUUUGCAUACUAUGAAAUUUUUGCUCUGAUAAAAAAAGAUUGCCAACCAAAUUUUCACAUGAUUUCAGGAUUUAGCAAACAACAGCUGAGUACCAGUAACAACGAUA
Molecule: long non-coding RNA, 1234 nt
Organism: Asterias rubens (European starfish)
Lineage: Eukaryota; Metazoa; Echinodermata; Asteroidea; Forcipulatida; Asteriidae
Exons: 3
Source: RefSeq, a predicted model, not a curated record